AACAGGCGCUUGAAUAAAAUUGUUUGGCAAGCGUUAUCUCAAGAGGAAAAAGAAAAGUUAGAUGCAUACAAGCCAAUGCGGUACUUGGAAAACAAGGCAGCUUUAAAUGGGGCAUUAGAACGGUUGAAUUGGCCCAUUUCACUGAAGGAGCUGUCAAUGCUGGAAAAUGAAAUCCUAGCUGGGAAAAUGUAUAUCCAACAGGCCAUGGAACUCCAGGAGGCUGCCAAGAAGGAGAAUUAUGUGAACAAGAGAGGAGAG
This is a long non-coding RNA of Panthera uncia (snow leopard), 258 nucleotides long. RefSeq lists it as uncharacterized. The record is from RefSeq and is a predicted model, not a curated record. The transcript has 2 exons. Lineage: Eukaryota; Metazoa; Chordata; Mammalia; Carnivora; Felidae.